This 1225-nucleotide long non-coding RNA is filed under the name Gallus gallus (chicken). Lineage: Eukaryota; Metazoa; Chordata; Aves; Galliformes; Phasianidae. The record is from RNAcentral.
GAAAAUAUAUCGUCUUUCCUGACUCCGAGUGGCAGCAGAGAGAGCUGAGCAUGUGAUAUCAAGCUGCGCAUGGAAAGCAAACAAAACGCCAUUUCUGUAUUUUGUAAGCAUCUCAGGUCAUAAAAGUGUCAGCACACUAUAUUUCUUGCUGGGAUCCUCUCUGUUUUAUUAUCUGAGCCCUUUCUAUUGUGUUGAAUGUGCAAGGAGAGUCUCCAAAGCAGGCAACAUCUGUUUCCCUGUCAUGUUUUUGAUUAUCAGCUCCAUAUUCCUUGCAAGUCUCCUGCUCACAUAUUCCCAUCAAACUCAAUGGGGGCUUCAACAGCAAGGACACUUCCUUAUCUCCCUUCCCCCAGACUCUCCAUCCAUCAUUCUCGCAUGCUGGCCCACUAAAUGCUGAUGCAAGAGGCCUGUUCUUUACACUUGGGUAGCACACUCAUGACCUCUCCAAUUUGUUUUGUUUGUUUAAGUCUAAUCGCUGUGGGUAUACCUGCCUCUCAGUCCUUAACAGGGGAGAAGGGACAGGAAGGAUGUAGGUGGGACAUCUCACUGGGUUUUAUUUUGGUACCCGUGGAGAACAGUUUUCUAAUGUAGUCUUAGAUUUGUUUCCCAGUUUUCUUCCCUGAAGAGGAAGUUUCUUCCCCUCUUUCUUAGCUCCCAAUUGCUAAAUCAAUUUCUCUGUGCUUUGCCAAGAGAUCUGUUUUAACAGUUAUGCAGGUAUUUCAAUCUGCAGAUGGGGAUUCUGCCAAUGAGAAUCAAUUAAAACAAUUGUCUUCUGCCUAUGGAUGGAAUUGCAGUUCCAGGAUAUUCGGCACCCUGAGAUCUGGGAAAGCAGAGGGUCUCUUCCUGGAUGCAUCCCUGUGAUUAAUCUGUAUUUAGACUUCUCAGCAAGAGUCCAGAUUUUUACAGCUGCUAAUCACCCACAGUUGUCAUUAACUUCAAUGAUGAUGAGGGGGCAGAGGAAGCGAUUGCUGCGCCUUCAGAAGAUAACUGCAAAAUCCUUCACCGAAGUGUUGCAAAGUCCCGAGCUGACCCCACCACUGGUGGAUGUGUCAGGGAGAUAGAUGUCAGCUUGAGCCAUGGCAAUUUGCCAUCUGUGGAAAGCAAACAAAUAUCAACGACCAGAGUAAUGAUCAUCGUGAUUGUAGCAGGAAUUUGAGCACAGAUUUACAUGGGAUCUCUGUGUUUGGGCUCACAAGCCUUUGAUUCUGUUGCUAUUAAAAGUAAG